Molecule: ribosomal RNA, 497 nt
Filed under: uncultured bacterium
Lineage: Bacteria
Description: partial 16S ribosomal RNA
Rfam family: Bacterial small subunit ribosomal RNA
Source: RNAcentral
GAUGAACGCUGGCGGCGUGCCUAAUACAUGCAAGUCGAGCGAACAGACGAGGAGCUUGCUCCUCUGACGUUAGCGGCGGACGGGUGAGUAACACGUGGAUAACCUACCUAUAAGACUGGGAUAACUUCGGGGAACCGGAGCUAAUACCGGAUAAUAUAUUGAACCGCAUGGUUCAAUAGUGAAAGACGGUUUUGCUGUCACUUAUAGAUGGAUCCGCGCCGCAUUAGCUAGUUGGUAAGGUAACAGCUUACCAAGGCAACGAUGCGUAGCCGACCUGAGAGGGUGAUCGGCCACACUGGAACUGAGACACGGUCCAGACUCCUACGGGAGGCAGCAGUAGGGAAUCUUCCGCAAUGGGCGAAAGCCUGACGGAGCAACGCCGCGUGAGUGAUGAAGGUCUUCGGAUCGUAAAACUCUGUUAUUAGGGAAGAACAAAUGUGUAAGUAACUAUGCACGUCUUGACGGUACCUAAUCAGAAAGCCACGGCUAACUACGUG